GCCCUUGGCGGAUCCGCGGCCGCUGCAGAGUUUGAUCCUGGCUCAGAACGAACGCUGGCGGCGUGCUUAACACAUGCAAGUCGAACGGACCUUUAUUUGAAGGGUAACUGGAUUAUAGAGGUUAGUGGCGCACGGGUGAGUAACACGUAGGCAACCUAUCCUUAAGAGGGGGAUAACUCAGGGAAACUUGAGCUAAUACCGCAUAAGACCACGAACUGGGAUGUUAGUGGUAAAAGGAGAAAUCUGUUUAAGGAGGGGCUUGCGGCCUUAUCAGGUAGUUGGUGAGGUAAUGGCUCACCAAGCCUAAGACGGGUAGCCGGUCUGAGAGGGCGGACGCCACACUGGGACUGAGACACAGGCCCAGACUCCUACGGGAGGCAGCAGUGGGGAAUAUUGCACAAUAGGGCGGAAGCUGGAUGCAGCGACGCCGCGUGGGAGGAAGAAGGCCUUCGGGUUGUAAACUUCUUUUAUAGGGGAAAAUAGUUAUGGUACCCUAUGAAUAAGCCACGGCUAACUCUGUGCCAGCAGCCCCUGUAAGACAGAGCUGGCGAGCGUUGUUCGGAAUUACUGGGCUUAAAGGGCCCUAG
Molecule: ribosomal RNA, 587 nt
Filed under: uncultured bacterium
Lineage: Bacteria
Description: partial 16S ribosomal RNA
Rfam family: Bacterial small subunit ribosomal RNA
Source: RNAcentral